ACAACUCGUAACGGUGGAUGUCUCGGCUCCUACAUCGAUGAAGAACGUAGCAAACUGACGAACUCGUGAAUCAUCAAAUUUUUGAACGCAAGUGCGCUCGCGGGUAACUCUGCGAGCAUGUCUGUUUGAGUGUC
Molecule: ribosomal RNA, 134 nt
Filed under: Gracilaria tenuistipitata
Lineage: Eukaryota; Rhodophyta; Florideophyceae; Gracilariales; Gracilariaceae
Description: Agarophyton tenuistipitatum 5.8S rRNA
Rfam family: 5.8S ribosomal RNA
About the family: 5.8S ribosomal RNA (5.8S rRNA) is a component of the large subunit of the eukaryotic ribosome. It is transcribed by RNA polymerase I as part of the 45S precursor that also contains 18S and 28S rRNA.
Source: RNAcentral